RNAcentral lists this transfer RNA (73 nucleotides) under Chloroflexota bacterium. Its description in RNAcentral is "Chloroflexi bacterium (groundwater metagenome) tRNA-Lys". It matches the Rfam family "tRNA". From Rfam's summary of the family: Transfer RNA (tRNA) molecules are approximately 80 nucleotides in length. Their secondary structure includes four short double-helical elements and three loops (D, anti-codon, and T loops). The record is from RNAcentral. Lineage: Bacteria; Bacillati; Chloroflexota.
GGCCCGCUAGCUCAACUGGUAGAGCAACUGACUCUUAAUCAGUGGGUUACAGGUUCGAGUCCUGUGCGGGUCA